Molecule: ribosomal RNA, 376 nt
Filed under: uncultured bacterium
Lineage: Bacteria
Description: bacterial SSU rRNA
Rfam family: Bacterial small subunit ribosomal RNA
Source: RNAcentral
UACGGAGGGUGCAAGCGUUGUUCGGAAUCACUGGGCGUAAAGGGCGCGCAGGCGGCUUGGUAAGUCAGAUGUGAAAGCCCACGGCUUAACCGUGGAAGUGCACUUGAAACUGCCUGGCUUGAGUACCAGAGGGGAAGGUGGAAUUCCCGGUGUAGAGGUGAAAUUCGUAGAUAUCGGGAGGAAUACCGGUGGCGAAGGCGACUUUCUGGCUGAGUACUGACGCUGAGGCGCGCAAGCGUGGGGAGCAAACAGGAUUAGAUACCCUGGUAGUCCACGCCGUAAACGAUGUGAACUAGAUGUAGGGGGUGUUGAUUCCCUCUGUGUCGCAGCUAACGCACUAAGUUCACCGCCUGGGGAGUACGGUCGCAAGAUUAAA